This 2987-nucleotide long non-coding RNA is filed under the name Salmo salar (Atlantic salmon). RNAcentral's name for it is "lncRNA (ENSSSAG00000092713.1, ENSSSAG00000100233.1)". The record is from RNAcentral. Lineage: Eukaryota; Metazoa; Chordata; Actinopteri; Salmoniformes; Salmonidae.
AGGUAAUCCUACCCUCCUCUCCAAGACUCACCUGUAGUAUAUACCAGGUAAAUCUUACCCCUCCAAGACUCACCUGUAGUAUAUACCAGGUAAUCCUACCCUCCUCUCCAAGACUCACCUAUAGUAUAUACCAGGUAAUCCUACCCUCCUCUCCAAGACUCACUUGUAUAUACCAGGUAACCCUGCCCUCCUCUCCAAGACUCACCUGUAGUAUAUACCAGGUAAUCCUACCCCUCCUCUCCAAGACUCACCUGUACUGUAUACCAGGUAAUCCUACCCCUCCUCUCCAAGACUCACCUGUACUGUAUGCCAUGUAAUCCUACCCCUCCUCUCCAAGACUCACCUAUAGUAUAUACCAAGUAAUCCUACACCUCCUCCAAGACUCACCUGUAGUAUAUACCAGGUAAUCCUACCCCUCCUCCAAGACUCACCUGUAGUAUAUACCAAGUAAUCCUAACCCUCCUCUCCAAGACUCACCUGUAGUAUAUACCAGGUAAUCCUACCCUCCUCUCCAAGACUCACCUGUAGUAUAUACCAGGUAAUCCUACCCUCCUCUCCAAGACUCACCUGUAGUAUAUACCAGGUAACCCUGCCCUCCUCUCCAAGACUCACCUGUAGUAUACACCAGGUAAUCCUACCCCACCUCUCCAAGACUCACCUGUAGUAUAUACCAGGUAAUCCUACACUCCUCUCCAAGACACACCUGUAUUAUAUACCAGGUAACCCUGCCCUCCUCUCCAAGACUCACCUGUAGUAUAUACCAGGUAACCCUGCCCUCCUCUCCAAGACUCACCUGUAGUAUAUACCAGGUAACCCUGCCCUCCUCUCCAAGACUCACCUGUAGUAUACACCAGGUAACCCUGCCCUCCUCUCCAAGACUGUUUGCCAAGUGUGUACAAUGCAGUCAACAUUCAUUCAAGCAUCAAGUGGCUAAUUUGACAUCUAAGAUUAGUAGCCACAACAAUCAGACGUUGUAAUAAUUUUUGUAAACAAUAGAAUACCUAGAAUAGAUACUUUUCCUUUAAUUCGCAAGAGACUUAAUGUAUACAUUAACCUGUAUAUAGCCUGGUUAUUGAUAUUUUGUUGUGUUACUUUUGAUUUAAUUUUUUACUUUAGUUUAUUUAGUAAAUAUUUUCUUAACUCUUUCUUGAACUGCAUUGUUGGUUAAGGGCUUGUAAGUAAGCAUUUCACUUUAAGGCCUACACCUGUUGUAUUCGGCGCAUGUGACAAAUACAAUUUGAUUUGAUGUAUCUCAUAGGAUCUGAGCGAGUGAAACAGCGCCCCUCUGUCUCUACGUGUAGGCCAUCUAUCUGGUGCUGUCUGGUCCAAACCAGUAUGACAUUGUUGCCGGCUGUAGCGUUGAAGGCAAGGGAAGCCAGCGAGCAUCUGGCCUCCCUUGAUUAAAAAAAAGUAUAAAAAAUGUGCCAAUCAUUGUUGAGCUAAACUAAGCAAGCUCAAAUGUGAAUGGUCCUGGCACACCCCAAAAAAUUGUCAAGGGAAGCCAGCUUGGAUUUGGCGUCGUUCCGAUCAAAUCCCAUUGAGCGCAUACAUCAUUGACAGAAAAACUUAAAUUGUUGCAUCUUGUUGUGUUGUUGUCCUCCGAUGGCUAGCUAGCCAGCUAACUAAAAUUGGCCCUUUCCUAAAUGAACGAUGGAUGGAGAUAGGGAUCCAUACUGGCCAAUGAUUAUAACGGCGAUUCUGAUCCAACAAUUAAUUCAUACAUUGUUGUGCCCCUGGCUCGAGAGGAUGGAAAUUAGAUGUAGGAGGCUAAUGUUAACUAGCUAACAUUGCCCAUGAUUGGAAGUUAGGCUAGCCAGCAAUAAUUUUAACCAGGUAGCCUAGGACAACAAAUAAUAAAAGUGUGUACUGUAUGACAGAGUGAUAGACUGUUUCAUGAGUCAACAUGUUUUUCUACUUGCGCGAACGCACACACACACACACAUAAAUCAGAAACAUGGACACCCACAUCAUAUUUAGCUGAUGUUGAUUGGACUAAAUUGUUUUUGGUAUAUUUUAGUUGUUACUGUAUUAGACUAAGCCGAGGUGAUUUUGAUGAGGAUGAAAUGUUGAAGUUGAAAUGGUGCUGGAAUAGUGGAGGAAGCUCCUGUUUUCUUUGUGACUUGCGGUAACUCUCUAUGGUUCUAAAUCAAUAGUUGUUUAGUAGUCCGAAAAUGUCGUAAACAUUAACUUGCUUGACCAUGCUGUAGGUCAUGUAAUUUUCUGUUGCUGUACAUGCAAUAUGCUUUGUGGACUUCACUGGACAGAGGUUGCUAUCCAAGUGGCACAGCAGUCUAAGGCACUGCAUCUCAGUGCUAGAGGCAUCACUACAGACCCUGGUUCGAUCCCGGGCUGUAUCACAACUGGCCGUGAUCUGGAGUCCCAUACGGCGGCGCACAAUUGGCCCAGCGUCAUCUAGGUUACGGGAGGGUUUGGCCGGGGGGGUAAGCCGCCAUUGUAAAAUAAGAUUUUGUUCUGAACUAACUUGCCUACUUAAAUAAAAUAAAACAAAUGUAUAGUUGAAUUCAUUCUGUCGCUGUGUCUUCUUAUUGUCCUGGCCUUUAGGCCUAUAUCUCACGGUCGCACGGCAUGAGGGGAGGGGGAGUUAUGCCAGUGAUUGUACCACGCACCGCUACGGUUCUAAGCUGGAUUUUCCAGCAGGGCUAUCCAGCAAAUUCACACAGCCAUUGAAUUGUUUAUUUAUCUAGGCAAGUCAGCUAAGAACAAAUUCUUAUUUACAAUGACGGCCUACGCCGGCCAACCCAUAACCCGGACGACACUGGGCCAAUUGUGGGCCGCCCUAUGGGAGAGGAGUGGAUCAACAGCCUGAUCAACUCUCUGUGAAGAUGUGGCGGGCUGCAUGAGGCAAAUGGUGCUCACACCAGAUACGGACUGGUUUUCUGAUCCACACCCCUACCUUUUUUAGAAGGCGUCUGUGUCCAACAGAUGCAUAUCUGUAAUCCCAGUCAUGUGAAAUCCAUAGAUUAGGG